GAUGAACGCUGGCGGCGUGCCUAAUACAUGCAAGUCGAGCGAACAGACGAGGAGCUUGCUCCUCUGACGUUAGCGGCGGAAGGGUGAGUAACACGUGGAUAACCUACCUAUAAGACUGGGGUAACUUCGGGAAACCGGAGCUAAUACCGGAUAAUAUAUUGAACCGCAUGGUUCAAUAGUGAAAGACGGUUUUGCUGUCACUUAUAGAUGGAUCCGCGCCGCAUUAGCUAGUUGGUAAGGUAACGGCUUACCAAGGCAACGAUGCGUAGCCGACCUGAGAGGGUGAUCGGCCACACUGGAACUGAGACACGGUCCAGACUCCUACGGGAGGCAGCAGUAGGGAAUCUUCCGCAAUGGGCGAAAGCCUGACGGAGCAACGCCGCGUGAGUGAUGAAGGUCUUCGGAUCGUAAAACUCUGUUAUUAGGGAAGAACAAAUGUGUAAGUAACUAUGCACGUCUUGACGGUACCUAAUCAGAAAGCCACGGCUAACUACGUG
Molecule: ribosomal RNA, 497 nt
Filed under: uncultured bacterium
Lineage: Bacteria
Description: partial 16S ribosomal RNA
Rfam family: Bacterial small subunit ribosomal RNA
Source: RNAcentral